Molecule: long non-coding RNA, 776 nt
Filed under: Homo sapiens (human)
Lineage: Eukaryota; Metazoa; Chordata; Mammalia; Primates; Hominidae
Description: HSALNT0374263
Source: RNAcentral
CGCGCAGACUCGCUGGCUCCGCCGGCGUGCCAUCCGCGCCGCCAGUGGGAGGGUAUAGCUGGGUGGGAGGAGAUGGAAAAGUAAGUGGAGCGCCCUGAAGGGAAGGAAAGGGAUCUGGAGCCCCAUUUAUUUCCUUCAUGAAUGUCCAGAGGAGAUCCUUGAAAUGAAGACUGCCACUGGGAUAAGGAAGAGACACCAUAGAUCUCUCUUUCUGCAUGCAUGCACAGAAGAAAGUCCAUAUUAGGACACAGUGAAAAGAUGGCCAUCUACAAGCCAGGAAGAGAGGCCUUAUCAGACACCAACGCUGACAGCACCUGGAUCUUGUACUUCUAGCCUCCAGAACUGAAAUUGUCCUUUUCACCUAAAUUUUUGAAUAUCUUGGCAUGAGAGCCCAAGUAGAGUGCAGAAUCACCUGGGUUCAGACGAUUCUCGUGCCUCAGCCUCCGGAGCAGCUGGGAUUACAGGUAAUUUACAUCGACUGCAUCUGUAUGGUGAAAAUAUAGUAUAAUGGGGUGCUGCUGUGAAUCUCCUUCCAAUUCUGCAUUCUGUGAUAUCAUAGUGGUAACCUGAAAUCCACCAUAGUGGGGACAUUUACACAAUAACUGGCAAAUGCUACAAGGCUGGGCUUUUUCAGUUUUGUUGAUUGUCUGGACAUAAAAAGGUAAUACAGAAAAUGUUACCAAUACAAGCAUUUGGGAAAAAUAAACUAAAACCUUUUGUGAAAAACAACAGGUUUUAUGGAAUUUACAAUAAAUAAUACUGUAUAUUUUAUUAUU